GGGAAUAUGGCUUAGUGGUAGAGCGCUUGCCUAGCAUGCAUGAAGUCCUGGGUUUGAUUCCUCAGUACCA
This 70-nucleotide transfer RNA is filed under the name Dipodomys ordii (Ord's kangaroo rat). It matches the Rfam family "tRNA". From Rfam's summary of the family: Transfer RNA (tRNA) molecules are approximately 80 nucleotides in length. Their secondary structure includes four short double-helical elements and three loops (D, anti-codon, and T loops). Lineage: Eukaryota; Metazoa; Chordata; Mammalia; Rodentia; Heteromyidae. The record is from Rfam by way of RNAcentral.